RNAcentral lists this long non-coding RNA (768 nucleotides) under Homo sapiens (human). Its description in RNAcentral is "HSALNT0340647". The record is from RNAcentral. Lineage: Eukaryota; Metazoa; Chordata; Mammalia; Primates; Hominidae.
GUUCCUUGUAGGAUCGCCUGGUGGGAGCCCAGGAGGGGUAGGGCUUAUCUGGUGCUACAUCCACCAUGCAAGCCUUGGAACUCCCAGGAAGGAAGGUCCAUUUUUUCCAAGGAAGAGCCCUCAGGUUUUUUGCCAUGGGUAUUAAUCAUCAUGGCAGCUAUGGAGAGUUUUGAAACAGAAUCAUCCAAUCUUUCCUAAAAGUGCACCAGGCCAAAGAAGAUACACUGGAAGAUGUUAUUAGCUCCUGAAAUUUGGUAACAAGAAAGGCCUUUAAAGUCUCCAGGACUUUAGCUCCUUAACGGUGGGACUAUGCUUUAGAUAGAAGCUGAUUAGUAAAUAUUGAUUGAAUGAAUACAUCCAGACAGAGUGUUUGGAAUCUUGGCUCACCCUGCUCACCUCCCCAGCUCCCAGUCUGGUCUGUCUUCAUCAUGGGAAAUGCUUGCUGUACUGGCCAGAAUGAGCAUCAGAACAUGCAAAGAGCCCAGGUAGAACCUCUAGCACUUUGUUGACUACAAGGGAUGAGAGCAGACACCUUUGGUUCAUCUUCGGUUCUGGCCUUAACGGAAAAGCAUUCACUGUUUCAUAGUGGAGAAACUAAGGCCCAUCUCACGAUGGAACUCACCAAGGGCCACAUGUCAAUAACUGGUAAAUAACCUGGAAAGCGGGUUCAACUAGGAGCCCCCAAAAUCAUGCUCCUUCCUGCUCCAGGAAGCACCAGGAACCCCCUUCUUCAUUUGUGCUGACAACAUAACCUUAGAGAUGAGGAGU